GAAAUGCGAUAAGUAAUGUGAAUUGCAGAAUUCAGUGAAUCAUCGAAUCUUUGAACGCACAUUGCGCCCUUUGGUAUUCCAAAGGGCAUGCCUGUUCGAGCGUCAUUUGUACCCUCAAGCUUUGCUUGGUGUUGGGCGUCUUUUUGUCUCUCCCCUUGUUGGGGGAGACUCGCCUUAAAACGAUUGGCAGCCGACCUACUGGUUUUCGGAGCGCAGCACAAAUUUGCGCCUUCCAAUCCACGGGGCGGCAUCCAGCAAGCCUUUGUUUUCUAUAACAAAUCCACAUUUUGACCUCGGAUCAGGUAGGGAUACCCGCUGAACUUAAGC
RNAcentral lists this unclassified non-coding RNA (327 nucleotides) under plant metagenome. RNAcentral's name for it is "partial contains 5.8S ribosomal RNA, internal transcribed spacer 2, and large subunit ribosomal RNA". The stretch from base 1 to 105 matches the Rfam family "5.8S ribosomal RNA", at positions 50 to 154 of the family's 154-position model. The record is from RNAcentral.